CGUAAAUAGUAGAUUCAUUGGAUUCUUACUCGAAGAAAGAACAUAAUUACAUGUAACUGAAUCAACGCUUUCGAGGUCAAAAACUUUUGACUCGCACAUAAAGCUCAAGUUAAUUCCAUCAUCGUGGGGCACCACGGCCAUCAUAUGUGGUAUUUCUAUUGUAAAAAAAUCAUCCAGAUUCCAAACCUUUGAUUUAGCUGUCUUUUUCGAAAGCUCCAAUAUCUUGUUUUUGUUAUAUAUUGAUACCUUCCCUUUAGAAAUAGCUGAAGCAAAUUCCAAAGCUUCGUCAAACUUUUCAAGUUUUUCAAGUAAGUCUACGUAAAAUUUGGACCAUUUUUCUUCCAAAGGAUCAUUUGACCAUGCAGUUUGAACGUCCACAUUUUUUAACGAAGCAUAAGCGUUUUCAUAGUCUUCUAGUAGGUAUUGUGCCAAUCCAGUAUCGCAAGCUGUAUUAACGAAAGAAUAGCGAUUCUUAUAAGCUUUAAAAAUACUUAAAGCCUCAGAAGAUAGCCUGUAAUACUCUGAUAGAAACGAACUGGUCGAAGAGAUAGUCUCCGAAAGCUUUUGAAAGCGAUUGUCUAAUAAGCUAUUGUCGUGAUGCUCAAUCAAUGGAAAACUAGGCUCACGCCAAAGGAGAGGCGAAGAAUCAUCAAUCAGGUUGUUCCAUCUUGCCAUCCUUGUUAACUGGCGACGAGCGUACAGUAAAAUUUUUGCACAACACAAUGGGAUUGGGGUAUCAUUGUUGUGGAUAGCUUCAGUAAUUUUCUUAAACAGAAGAGUAUAACAAUCAUAAUUAAAUGCAGCGAUUAUUUCCAAAUUAUUUUGGACGAAUUCAUUAAAGAAGGACGAGGUU
Non-coding RNA from Schizosaccharomyces pombe (fission yeast), 853 nucleotides. Lineage: Eukaryota; Fungi; Ascomycota; Schizosaccharomycetes; Schizosaccharomycetales; Schizosaccharomycetaceae. The record is from the annotation of a GenBank genome assembly.